GACGAACGCUGGCGGCGUGCUUAACACAUGCAAGUCGAACGGUGAAGCGCCUUCCUUUUUGGUGGGUGUGGAUGAGUGGCGAACGGGUGAGUAACACGUGAGUAACCUGCCCCCUUCUUCUGGAUAACCGCAUGAAAGUGUGGCUAAUACGGGAUAUUCUGGGUCUGUCGCAUGAUGGGUCUGGGAAAGAUAUUGUUUCGGUGGGGGAUGGGCUCGCGGCCUAUCAGCUUGUUGGUGGGGUGAUGGCCUACCAAGGCGGUGACGGGUAGCCGGCAUGGGAGGGUGGACGGUCACACUGGGCCUGAGGCACGGCCCAGACUCCUACGGGAGGCAGCAGUCGGGAGUAUGGCACAAUGGGCGCAAGCCUGAUGCAGCGACGCCGCGUGAGGGAUGGAGGCCUUCGGGUUGUGAACCUCUUUCGCUAGUGAAGCAGGCCUGCCUCGUUUGUGGGUGGGUUGACGGUAGCUGGAGAAGAAGCGCCGGCUAACUACGUG
Molecule: ribosomal RNA, 494 nt
Filed under: uncultured bacterium
Lineage: Bacteria
Description: partial 16S ribosomal RNA
Rfam family: Bacterial small subunit ribosomal RNA
Source: RNAcentral